UACGAAGGGUGCAAGCGUUAAUCGGAAUUACUGGGCGUAAAGCGAGCGCAGGCGGUUUCUUAAGUCUGAUGUGAAAGCCCCCGGCUCAACCGGGGAGGGUCAUUGGAAACUGGAAGACUGGAGUGCAGAAGAGGAGAGUGGAAUUCCACGUGUAGCGGUGAAAUGCGUAGAGAUGUGGAGGAACACCAGUGGCGAAGGCGACUUUCUGGUCUGUAACUGACGCUGAUGUGCGAAAGCGUGGGGAGCAA
RNAcentral lists this ribosomal RNA (248 nucleotides) under uncultured Escherichia/Shigella sp. Its description in RNAcentral is "partial 16S ribosomal RNA". It matches the Rfam family "Bacterial small subunit ribosomal RNA", at positions 524 to 771 of the family's 1533-position model. The record is from RNAcentral. Lineage: Bacteria; Pseudomonadati; Pseudomonadota; Gammaproteobacteria; Enterobacterales; Enterobacteriaceae.